Dendrobium catenatum is the source of this 1258-nucleotide long non-coding RNA. RefSeq lists it as uncharacterized. The transcript is spliced from 4 exons. Lineage: Eukaryota; Viridiplantae; Streptophyta; Magnoliopsida; Asparagales; Orchidaceae. The record is from RefSeq and is a predicted model, not a curated record.
CGCUAGGACUGUUUAAUAUUUUUUGUGAAGGGUUAAUUUUAAGGGUAUGUAAUAAGUGCUAUUGCUUAUCAAAUUGAUUUGUUAGUGCCACACCAUUAUAUAAAUUUAGGCUUUGUAUGGUAUGACUUUUUUAUUGCUUUUUAAAGUAGAGUUUUUGCACAAACAUUAAAAUUUUUGCACUAAAACUCUAUUUUCAGAAGUAAUAAAAAAAUCGUCCCAAAUGAAGUCUUAGUUAAUAUUCCUUAGUUUUUUUUAAUCUAUAUUACUAAGUCAAGCUCAUGAUAAAAUAUGAAAUUGUGAAAUUAUUGUGGAGCUCUGAUUAUGCCUGAAUCUGAACAAAUUGGAACAAGUAUAACUGCUUCAUUUUGCCGUUUUGGAUUCUAAGUUCUAUAUGAUGUCACAUGAACAGACUAAUAUCUAGCCUUGCCUGUUUUCAAACCGUUUCAUAUUUGUAACAUUGUCUUUUAUAGUUGUUUUGCAAAGCUCUUUUCAAUUAAUAAAUCAUCCCGGUUUGAAAUGCAUAAGUAGCAGUAGCACUUUACAGAACCAGUAUAUAUAUAUCUUCCAAUAUAGAAUUAUAAAACUAAUUUUGACCCUUCGACAAGGUGGACUUUUUCCUUUUGCGCGAGGAUUUUGAUAUGUGCAUCCACAAAAUUAGCUACUGAAAAUAUGUUCUCAGGUAACAAGCAACGAAACCAUCAAAAUAUGAAUCUGAUCACACAAUGAUUCCAUAAAUGAGGUUUCAUCUCAUGUGUAUUGACCAAAUAUCCUCUGAAAGAUGCUCUUUACCCUACAAAUUUGAAUUGAAAUUUUCCAACAAUUGUUGUCCUUAAGCCAAAAGGAUCUUACAUGAGGUCAGGGAGUAGAAAAUCAAAUAUAAAGAAGCUUUCGGAGGCCAUCUAUAUUUUCCAACACGAUCAUGUGGAGCUAGCCUUUUGCAUGGUGGAUAUAUCAUCUAUGAAUAGUAUGGUUUACAUGCUCAGAUCUCCUUGAUUGCCAAUUUUGAUAGUAGGUCGUGGUCUUUGCAAGCUCAGUUAGAUCGCUUGUUUAUACCUUCCGAAAACUGAAACAAUUGUUUCAAGUGCAGAAAGAUCCGAUCAGUUGCAGUAUCUCAAACAGAUUUAAAGUGGACUCAGAUUAAUCUUCUAGUCGAGUUGAUUCAAUUUGGAUUCUAAUUGAUUUUGAUUCAAAUUUGGUUUCAGCACAUGUAAUCGAUCUUAAGUUAUAAUUGAGGCCAUAUGGCUUGAAUUCGACUCAA